This 1574-nucleotide small RNA is filed under the name uncultured Bradyrhizobium sp. RNAcentral's name for it is "bacterial SSU rRNA". The stretch from base 1 to 489 matches the Rfam family "Bacterial small subunit ribosomal RNA", at positions 1045 to 1533 of the family's 1533-position model. The record is from RNAcentral. Lineage: Bacteria; Pseudomonadati; Pseudomonadota; Alphaproteobacteria; Hyphomicrobiales; Nitrobacteraceae.
AUGGCUGUCGUCAGCUCGUGUCGUGAGAUGUUGGGUUAAGUCCCGCAACGAGCGCAACCCCCGUCCUUAGUUGCUACCAUUUAGUUGAGCACUCUAAGGAGACUGCCGGUGAUAAGCCGCGAGGAAGGUGGGGAUGACGUCAAGUCCUCAUGGCCCUUACGGGCUGGGCUACACACGUGCUACAAUGGCGGUGACAAUGGGACGCUAAGGGGCAACCCUUCGCAAAUCUCAAAAAGCCGUCUCAGUUCGGAUUGGGCUCUGCAACUCGAGCCCAUGAAGUUGGAAUCGCUAGUAAUCGUGGAUCAGCACGCCACGGUGAAUACGUUCCCGGGCCUUGUACACACCGCCCGUCACACCAUGGGAGUUGGUUCUACCUGAAGACGGUGCGCUAACCCGCAAGGGAGGCAGCCGGCCACGGUAGGGUCAGCGACUGGGGUGAAGUCGUAACAAGGUAGCCGUAGGGGGACCUGCGGCUGGAUCACCUCCUUUCUAAGGAUGGUUCUUCAGAAGCUUGCUUCUAUCGAACCUCUUCAGAAACAUCAGGGGCCAACAGUUUCAGGAUUGUUGAGCUCCAUUGGCGGGAUUUCGCCGUCUUCGUUUCUCUUUCUUCGCGGACGAACACGCGCCAGGGGCUGCGCUUGUGCUGACCAUCCGGCGUGAAGCCGGCUGCGCGCGAGCAAGUUCCCGUUUCCCUUUUUUGGGAUAAGCGUUAGGGGCUUGUAGCUCAGUUGGUUAGAGCGCGCGCUUGAUAAGCGUGAGGUCGGAAGUUCAAGUCUUCCCAGGCCCACCAGCCUUCGCUGCUCUACAGCUUCGGCUCGGCAGGCCCUCUUGAACGAAGGCUGCUGCGCCAUAGCGCCAGCGAAGGCGAGCGCGCAAAAGCAUUCGUCUUCUGGUACGGGGCCAUAGCUCAGCUGGGAGAGCGCGUGCUUUGCAAGCAUGAGGUCGUCGGUUCGAUCCCGUCUGGCUCCACCAGCCUUCGCUGGCUGCGCCAGCUACGGCUCGGCAAGCCUAUCUUAGCGAAGGCUGCCGCGUCGAAGCUCGAAGAGCGAAGACGGGCCGCUCGACUAUCGAGCCAAAACAAUCGUCCGCGAAACAUCACUUCGCACGUUGCGUCCUUAUCGGAUGGACGUGCGGGAUUUCUGACAUCGUAAAGAGGAGAUUGAUCCGAGUUUGGGAUCUGCGAAGCAAUUCGCGGAAUCGCAAUCACUAUCUCCGGGACGUUUCGGCGCUCGUUCAUCGCAAGAUGAUCGAGUUGUAAAUGUCCUUGUUGGUGAAGCUUGACCGCCUCAUCAUCGGGUUGAUCUUACGAAGCAAGCUGGUCUUUCUAAUCAGUGUCCAGCCGCAUGCAGCAUUCAUCGAGGGUGCGCGCCUCCAGGAUUUCGAUCUUGGGGCAAGUGUGCGGACUACAUUCUGCCGAGUGUGUGGACAUUGAUAAUGAGAGCAAUCAAGUGCCUUAAGGGUGUUCGGUGGAUGCCUUGGCGCUGAGAGGCGAUGAAGGACGUGCUACGCUGCGAUAAGCCGUGGGGAGCUGCGAAGAAGCUUUGAUCCACGGAUUUCCGAAUGGGGAAACCCGG